RNAcentral lists this long non-coding RNA (1768 nucleotides) under Marmota monax (woodchuck). The stretch from base 1611 to 1682 matches the Rfam family "tRNA". Lineage: Eukaryota; Metazoa; Chordata; Mammalia; Rodentia; Sciuridae. The record is from RNAcentral.
ACCUUUAUUUAUUUAUUUCGGCACCGGAGAUUGAACCCAGGGGGUGGUUGACCACUGAGCCACAUCCCCAACCCUUUUUGUUUUAUUUUUAGACAGGGUCUCCCGGAAUUGCUGAGGGCCUUGCUAAAUUGCUGAGGCUAGCCUCAAACUUUCGAUCCUCCUGCCUCAGCUUCCGGAGUCCCUGGGAUUAUAGGUGUGUGCCACCACAGCUUGCUCCCACCUGCAUUUUAGGCAAAAUGGCCAGCAGGGCUGCCAUGAUAACAUACUACAGACUGUGUGGCUUACACAGAAAUUUAUUUUCUCAUGCUUCUGGAAGAUGGAAGUCCAAGACCAAGGGGCCAGCAGGGUUGGUUUUUUCUGAGACCUCCCUCCUGGGCUUGCAGAGGGCCACCCUGCUGUCUCUUUAUAUGGUCAUCUCUCUGUGCCAGCACACUCCCUGAUGGCUCUUCCUCUUGCAAAGCCACCAGUCAUUGAGCCACACGAAAGGCCUUGUUUUAACUUGAUCACCCUUUAUAGGCCCUGGCUCCCAAUACAGUCCUGUUGUCAGUCACUGGGGUUAGAGCUUCAGUGCAAGAAUUCUGAGGGAACAGGAUAUAGUUCAUAAAGAUCCUGUGUUUGCCAUCAGAUGAUUGGCAAAAGUUAAAAAACCUGCUGGUGACAGUUGUUAGCUAGGUAUGGCAAAGGUGAAAUCAGCGCUCAAUGAUGGGAAUGUUUUGUGGUUGCUUUAGGAUGGGACCAACCCUUCACCCCGAAUUUGGUUCAGAUUGGAGACUGGUGAGGCACAUGCAGAGUUUGCUUACCUGUGCUGAGGCUUUCCGGGCCACAGGCAAGCUCUUCCACAGGUCUGGAAAUGGUUUGAGAGGGGCUUUCAUUGGGAUGAUGGCUGAGGCUGGGGCAAAGGUUCCCUGGAAUUGGCCAGGACUUUCCAGGUUUAAAAUUCCCUCCAGACUUUGGAAGAGAAGGCUUAAGGCCUCCUCAGUUUGCCAGGAUGUGAGCAAAGGGGAAGAGGGAGGAAGGGGCUUUGAAGUAAUUAGCAGUCCCACAUCAAAAAUGGAGUCCGCCGGGCAGGGGUGGCACAAGCCUGUAAUUCCAGCGGCUGGGGAGGCUGAGACUGGAGGAUUGCAAGUUGAAAGCCAGCCUCAGCAACAGCGAGGCACUAAGCAACUCUGUGAGACCCUAUCUCUAAAUAAAAUACAAAAUAGGGCUGGGGAUGUGGCUCAGUGGUUGAAUGCCCCUGAGUUCAAUACAUGGUACCAGGAAGAAAAAAAAAAAUGGAGUCGAACUCUUUAUUACAGUGUCAAAUGAAAACCUGAGCGAGGAGGGCUAGGGUUGUAGCUCAGUGGUCGAGUGCUUGCCUCACUCUUGUGAGGCCCUGAGUUUGAUCCUCAGCACCUCAUAAAAAUAAAUAAAUAAAAUAAAGGUUUUAUGGGGCUGGGGCUGUAGCUCAGUGGUACAGCACCUGCCUUGCACGUGUGAGGCCCUGGGUUCAAUCCUAAGCCACCACAGAAAAAUAUAUAAAUAAAGAUAUUGUGACUAUCUACAACUAAAAAAAAUUUAAAUAAGAAUAAAGAUAUUAUGUCCAACUACAAUUAAAAAAUAAAUAUAGGGCUGGGGAUAUAGCUUAGUUGGUAGAGUGCUUGCCUCGAAUGCACAAGGCCUCUGGGUUCAAUCCCCAGCACCCAUGCACACACACACAAAAAGAAAACUGGCAAAUCUUACUGUAUGUUAAUUGUACUUCAAUAAAAUUGAUACAAAAAUUGUUUUAAAA